Molecule: ribosomal RNA, 247 nt
Filed under: uncultured bacterium
Lineage: Bacteria
Description: partial 16S ribosomal RNA
Rfam family: Bacterial small subunit ribosomal RNA
Source: RNAcentral
UGACGAGCGGCGGACGGGUGAGUAACGCGUAGGAAUCUACCCAGUAGCGGGGGAUAGCCCGGGGAAACUCGGAUUAAUACCGCAUACGCCCCAAGGGGAAAAGCAGGGGAUCUUCGGACCUUGCACUAUUGGAUGAGCCCAAGUCAGAUUAGCUAGUUGGUGAGGUAAUGGCUCACCAAGGCGAUAAUCAAUAGCUGAUUUGAGAGGAUGAUCAGCCACACUGGGACUGAGAUAUGGCCCAGACUCC